Long non-coding RNA from Pseudopipra pipra, 1332 nucleotides. RefSeq lists it as uncharacterized. Lineage: Eukaryota; Metazoa; Chordata; Aves; Passeriformes; Pipridae. The transcript is spliced from 3 exons. The record is from RefSeq and is a predicted model, not a curated record.
UGUACUGUAAGAAACCCAACAAUCCUAAUCCUGUUGCAUUUAUGAUUUCUUCUUGUAUACAUAGUUCAAUACAAUUAUGUAGAGAUAGCUCAGGAUGUUUUGCAUGCUAAUUGACAACUGCUGAAGUAGAACUUAAAAGUUUUAAACAAUUUAAAUCAAGUAAUAAUAAACGUUAUUAUCACAUAUAUUAUUUUCUUAUAAUCUCCAUAGUGUAAUUAUAGGUAUAUAAAGCCUUAAAUAAUAGCAGAAAGCUUUAUGGCUUAUUGUUAAACAUAAAGACAAUUUUUAAUAUGUCAUGGUAAGGCAUUUUGAUGAGACCUACGAAGUAUUCUGGAGAAACAUACUGUAUUGCCAUUUCACUGAUCUAAGGUGGCAGAUGGAAGUCUUGUCAUGUGCAGUACCACCUCAUUUCAAAGAGAAUAUAUUAACAGAUAUGGAGUAUGGCAAUUUUUAAUGUAAAUAAUGCUUUUCCUUUCUGAAAGAGCCCAUUUACUGUUUUGAGGCCAUUAGACUUCUGUCCUGGCUUCUUCAUCACCGCAAUUCUGCAAUAGGAUUUGAGAGUCAGUUUGAGACUGACAAUUAACUUCUUGCUUGUGUUGCAAAGCUUCCUUUUAUACUCCUGUAAAACUGAACAAAUGACUGCCACUAAUGUUAUGCUCAUCAACUAGUAAGUGGAGGCCACUUAAGGCAGAAAUGUCGGAUUUAGCUCCAGCUGCUGUUCUAAUGUUGCAGAAAGCUUUUGCUGCAGUUCAUUAAAUUCAACUUCAGGCAGUCUCAAAACUGCCAGCUAAUUAUUUUUUUCUUUCCUCGGCUAAGUGAAACCUGGUGUCACCAAUUUCCACUCACAAAAUGGAGCUACAGAAUCCUGCAUUCUGAAGACUGAAGAAACAAAGCAGUGAGGAAGCAACCAACAUAAUUCUUAUAAGAAGAGGACUUAGAAAAUGCCCAUUUACAAAAGGAUGCAGAGAUGCUUCACCAGUAUGUCCGCACAGGACCAACCUCUCCACAGCCAGGGACAGUGCCUGAAUGAAGAAAGACAUCAAGACCCAGCUCCAUAUAUAAACAGCUGAAAAAGAAGAAUGGAAAAGAAGAGAAUAAGAAUGGAGUCAAUAAUUGAAAGCACAAAAAGAAGCUUUAACGAGGUAGGAAGCUCCUGAAAAUGUGAAACAUUAUUGGAGAGCAGAGGGAAAAAAACACCUAUUAUUAUGUAAGAUGCAAGACAAGCAUAAAAAAAAUCUCCUAACCACUGGUAUACUAAGAACACUGGAUACAAAAAAAGGUCAAAGAGGUGAACAGAAUAAAGGUAUCCAGGAAGAAGUUUCACAGCUUCUU